Molecule: non-coding RNA, 22 nt
Filed under: Rattus norvegicus (Norway rat)
Lineage: Eukaryota; Metazoa; Chordata; Mammalia; Rodentia; Muridae
Source: RNAcentral
UAGCUCUUCCGAAGGGCUGGCU